RNAcentral lists this non-coding RNA (24 nucleotides) under Cricetulus griseus (Chinese hamster). The record is from RNAcentral. Lineage: Eukaryota; Metazoa; Chordata; Mammalia; Rodentia; Cricetidae.
GUCAAGAAGGAAGGCUUAACCCCC